Molecule: long non-coding RNA, 1358 nt
Organism: Microplitis demolitor
Lineage: Eukaryota; Metazoa; Arthropoda; Insecta; Hymenoptera; Braconidae
Exons: 3
Source: RefSeq, a predicted model, not a curated record
UUGAUGCAGCUUCGUGGAUGCUUGUGGGAAUAGUGUCUAUCCAUGCUGCUACUUUUAUGAUUUUCGUAUUUGAAUGCUUAUCACCAAUGGAAUCAAAUACUAAAAAAUUUAUCCCACAAAAGACUCAUUUUUCCAUAACCAGGUCUUAUUGGUUAGUAUGGGCAGUUCUGUUCCAAGCGUCAGUUCAAGUUGAUUCGCCGCAAGGGAACGCAGCUAGGUUUUUCAAAUUGAUAUUUAGGAUGAAAAAAAUUUUUUCUUUCCAAAAUCGAAAAUGAAGCUUGUGUAGACUUUAUUCAGGCUUCUGAAGUUGCUUUGAAAAUUACUGAGCGACCAUUAGUUGCUGAGAUAUCGAUAAUCAAAGACAAAAAGAUCGUUUUUCGAUCGUAGUGUGAAACAAAAAAAGAAAAUUGUAGCUGAAUAAAUUUCUUAAACGAUGUUUUUGAUACGACCAUUUUUCACUAAAAUACAGUCUUCCAAAAAUCAUUAAAAAAUUUAUCAAAUCUUCUUGUUCCUUCAAUUUUUUGGAUAAGUGUAGUUCACGAGAUUUUUUUGGAAGAACGUUUUUUGUUGAUGUAAACCAUUAAGCAAACGAUUUUGGUAACCACAGCCCCGACUCAAUCCCUGCUUUGUACUAUUGGGUUACUCAUUUGCAAUAAAUAGUAAUAAACAUAGCAAACAACAUGAAUUGCGCAAAAUCAAAAACAAGAUGAGCUGGCUCUGGCUCCUAACUGGUGUAUGGUGCACUUAAACCAUCGGGCACUAAUCUUUUUUCUGCGACAAAUGUCAAUGUAAAUCGAUCUGUGGAUAAAAAAAUAAAUUAUUAAAAUUCAGGUGAAAUGAGCAAACAAUAGACAACGGUAAUUAUUGGAUCUCUGAGAACAGUAUAUUUAAGUGGCUUAAAAAUACAUUGUAAAUGAUGCAUCAAUCAGUCAACUUCAAUCAACUUUUUCGAUGUUAUUGUUUCUCGAUAUACCACAUACAGAAAUUAAGGCAUCUAAAAAAGUUCCAAAUUAUUGAGUGAUAUUUAACAUGCUGUAACUUCGAGGGAAAUAGUUAUACAGCAAAAAAAAAUCUAAGUGUGCCAUCAAGUGUUUUCAGAUCUGGACUCAUAAACUCUUAAUCAUGCAUGAUCCGUGGUAAUUCUUAAAAAAACCACGCACUCUGCAAGGUUUAGGGCUACACUCAAAAUCAAGAAUAUAUUGAUCUUGUCUUGAUCUUGUCUCGACUCAUCAAGACGAGACCAAAGCGAUAUUAUAGAUUGCAUUAUCGAGACCAAAACCUAAACCGUCGAAAAUCUUGCAAUGUCUUGACAAGAACCAACACAAUGUAAUAAAUAUAUGUAAAGUAGUUUUAUUAAG